This 440-nucleotide ribosomal RNA is filed under the name uncultured bacterium. Its description in RNAcentral is "partial 16S ribosomal RNA". It matches the Rfam family "Bacterial small subunit ribosomal RNA", at positions 338 to 795 of the family's 1533-position model. The record is from RNAcentral.
CCUACGGGAGGCAGCAGUGGGGAAUAUUGCACAAUGGGGGAAACCCUGAUGCAGCGACGCCGCGUGAGCGAUGCAGUAUUUCGGUAUGUAAAGCUCUAUCAGCCGAGCAGAAAAUGACGGUACCUGACUACGAAGCCCCGGCUAACUCCGUGCCAGCAGUCGCGGUAAUACGUAGGGGGCAAGCUUUAUCCUGAUUUACUAGGUGUAACGGGAGCGUUGACGUCGGUGCAAGCACGAUGUGAAAGCCCGGGGCUCAACACCGGGACUGCAUUUGGAACUGUGCUGCUAGAGUGUCGGAGAGGCAGGCGGAAGUCCUAGUGUAGCGGUGAAAUGCGUAGAUAGUAGGAGGAACACCAGGGGCGAAGGCGGCCUGCUGGACGAUGACUGACGUUGAGGCUCGAAAGCGUGGGGAGCAAACAGGAUUAGAUACCCCUGUAGGC